GUCCACGCCGUAAACGAUGGAUACUAGCUGUUGGGCGCAAGUUCAGUGGCUAAGCGAAAGUGAUAAGUAUCCCACCUGGGGAGUACGUUCGCAAGAAUGAAACUCAAAGGAAUUGACGGGGCCCGCACAAGCGGUGGAGCAUGUGGUUUAAUUCGAUGAUACGCGAGGAACCUUACCAAGGCUUAAAUGUAGAUUGACAGGACUGGAAACAGUUUUUCUUCGGACAAUUUACAAGGUGCUGCAUGGUUGUCGU
RNAcentral lists this ribosomal RNA (253 nucleotides) under uncultured bacterium. RNAcentral describes it as "partial 16S ribosomal RNA". It matches the Rfam family "Bacterial small subunit ribosomal RNA", at positions 793 to 1055 of the family's 1533-position model. The record is from RNAcentral.